AUGAUGGCUGUGGGAGAGACCCCCGGGGGGCGCCGAAGGAGCAAAACCAGUUUUCCAGCUGAGGGAAACGGUUAAACUCUCAGGCAAAAGGACUGCAGCCGGACG
Molecule: non-coding RNA, 105 nt
Filed under: Desulforamulus putei
Lineage: Bacteria; Bacillati; Bacillota; Clostridia; Eubacteriales; Peptococcaceae
Description: Desulfotomaculum putei Glycine sequence
Rfam family: Glycine riboswitch aptamer
About the family: This family represents the bacterial glycine riboswitch.
Source: RNAcentral